Molecule: microRNA, 22 nt
Filed under: Ananas comosus (pineapple)
Lineage: Eukaryota; Viridiplantae; Streptophyta; Magnoliopsida; Poales; Bromeliaceae
Description: microRNA s1306_c034b
Source: RNAcentral
AUCUGAGGCUUGUCGACACAUC